GAAUAUUGGUCAAUGGGUGAGAGCCUGAACCAGCCAUGCCGCGUGCAGGAAGACGGCCUUCUGGGUUGUAAACUGCUUUUGCCAGGGGCUAAAAUACUCUUGCGAGAGGAAUUGAAGGUACCUGGUGAAUAAGCCACGGCUAACUACGUGCCAGCAGCCGCGGUAAUACGUAGGUGGCAAGCGUUGUCCGGAUUUAUUGGGUUUAAAGGGUGCGUAGGCGGUCCUGUAAGUCAGUGGUGAAAGACGGCAGCUCAACUGUCGAGGUGCCAUUGAUACUGCUGGACUUGAGUACAGACGAGGUAGGCGGAAUUGACGGUGUAGCGGUGAAAUGCAUAGAUAUCGUCAAGAACACCAAUAGCGAAGGCAGCUUACUAGACUGUAACUGACGCUGAGGCACGAAAGUGUGGGGAUCAAACAGG
This 419-nucleotide ribosomal RNA is filed under the name uncultured bacterium. RNAcentral's name for it is "bacterial SSU rRNA". It matches the Rfam family "Bacterial small subunit ribosomal RNA", at positions 359 to 776 of the family's 1533-position model. The record is from RNAcentral.